Molecule: ribosomal RNA, 316 nt
Filed under: uncultured bacterium
Lineage: Bacteria
Description: bacterial SSU rRNA
Rfam family: Bacterial small subunit ribosomal RNA
Source: RNAcentral
GCCGCGUGCGGGAUGAAGGCCUUCGGGUUGUAAACCGCUUUUGUCAGAGACGAAAAGGGACGUACGAAUAAUACGUUCCGCUGACGGUAUCUGAAGAAUAAGCACCGGCUAACUACGUGCCAGCAGCCGCGGUAAUACGUAGGGUGCAAGCGUUAAUCGGAAUUACUGGGCGUAAAGGGUGCGCAGGCGGCUGUGCAAGACAGAUGUGAAAUCCCCGGGCUUAACCUGGGAACUGCAUUUGUGACUGCACGGCUAGAGUUUGUCAGAGGAGGGUGGAAUUCCGCGUGUAGCAGUGAAAUGCGUAGAUAUGCGGAAG